UGUGCUAUGGGGCAGAGCUCUGUGCUAUGGGGCACUGUGCCCACUCUGUGCUAUGGGGCAGAGCUCUGCGCUAUGGGGCAGUGUGCUCAGUCCUAUGGGGCUCAGCCCCACUUUGUGCUAUGGGGCAGAGCUCUGUGCUAUGGGGCCCAGCUCCACAUUGCGCUAUGGGGCACAGCCCCGUUAGUGCUAUGGGGCACAGCUCUGUGCCGUGGGGCGCUGUGGGGCACAGUGGGGCCCCCCCAUGGCGUCCCCGCCCCAUAGAUGCCGGCAGCCCCUUAUCUCUGCAGUGCAGGUGGGGUGUGUGGGGCGGCGCCGUGGGGCAGUGCCGUGGGGCAGCGCCGUGGGGCAGUACAGUGUGGCAGUAGUAUGGGGCAAAGCCGUGGGGCAGCCCCAUGGGAAAGCGCUGUGGGGCAGAGCUGUGGGGCAGAGCCGUGGGGCAGAGCUGUGGGGCAGCGCCGUGGGGCAGCGCCGUGGGGCAGUGCUGUGGGGCAGUGCUAUGGGUCAGAGCUGUGGGGCAGAACCAUGGGACAAUGUUGUGGGGCGGUGCUAUGGGGCAGAGCUGUGGGGCAGUACAGUGUGGCAGUAGUAUGGGGCAAAGCCGUGGGGCAGCCCCAUGGGACAGUGCUGUGGGGCAGAGCCGUGGGGCAGAGCCGUGGGGCAGUGCUGUGGGGCAGCCCCAUGGGGCAGUGCUAUGGGGCAGUCGUAUGGAGCAGAGCCGUGGGGCAGCCCCAUGGGUCAGUGCUGUGGGGCAGUGCCAUGGGGCAGCGCUGUGGGGCAGUGCUAUGGGGCAGUGCUGUGGGGCAGAACCAUGGGACAAUGUUGUGGGGCAGUGCUGUGGGGCAGUGCUGUGGGGCAGCGCCGUGGGACAGUGCUAUGGGGCAGAGCUGUGGGGCAGAGCUGUGGGGCAGUGCUGUGGGGCAGUGCUAUGGGGCAGUGCUGUGGGGCAGAACCAUGAGACAAUGUUGUGGGGCAGUGCUAUGGGGCAGAGCUGUGGGGCAGCACCGUGGGGCAGUGCUGUGGGGCAGAGCUGUGGGGCAGCGCCGUGGGGCAGCGCCGUGGGGCAGUGCUGUGGGGCAGAGCUGUGGGGCAGCGCCGUGGGGCAGCGCCGUGGGGCAGUGCUGUGGGGCAGUGCUGUGGGGCAGAACCAUGGGACAAUGUUGUGGGGCAGUGCUAUGGGGCAGAGCUGUGGGGCAGCACCGUGGGGCAGUGCCAGGGGGCAGCCCUAUGGGACAGUGCUAUGGGGCAGAGCCGUGGGGCAGAGCUGUGGGGCAGUGCUAUGGGGCAGAGCCGUGGGGCAGCCCCAUGGGGCAGUGCUGUGGGGCAGCGCCGUUGGUUGUGGGGCAGCCGCUAUGGGGCAGCGCCAUUGGUUGUGGGGCAGCCGCUAUGGGGCAGCUCCAUUGGUUGUGGGGCAGCCGCUAUGGGGCAGCGCUGUUGGUUGUGGGGCGGCCGCUAUGGGGCAGCGCUGUUGGUUGUGGGGCGGCCGCUAUGGGGCAGCGGUGCUGGUUGUGGGGCGGCCGCUAUGGGGCAGAGCUGCUGGUUGUGGGGUGCCGCUAUGGGGCAGGCCCCAGGGGUGGGGGCGUGGCCUCAGGAAAGGGGGCGUGGCCUAAGGAUGGGGCAGGAAGAGCGUUGAAUGGCGGUGGGCGUGGCUUAAUGGAAGUGGGCGUGGCCUUAAGGGUAGGGGGCGUGGCCUAAGGGGGCAGCAGAACGGUGGCCAAUGGCGGUGGGCGUGGCUUAAUGGGAGGUGGGCGUGGCCUAAGGGGCAUCAAACGGCGUCCUAUGGUGGUGGGCGUGGCUUAACAGGUGGGCGUGGCCUGAGGGUCUGUGUGUCCUAUGGCGGUGGGCGUGGCCUAAUGGAACAGUGGGCGUGGUCUAUAGUUGUGGGCGUGGCCUAAGGGGGGCAGCAAAACGGUGGCCUAUGGCGGUGGGCGUGGCUUAUCGGGGGUGGGCGUGGCCUAAGGGCAGCAAUACGGUGUCUUAUGGUGGUGGGCGUGGCUUAAGGAGGUGGGCGUGGCCUAAGUUGGCAGCAAAACGGUGUCCAAUGACGGUGGGCGUGGCUUAACGGGGAGGCGGGCGUGGCCUAAUGGGCUACAAACGGUGUCCUAUGACGGUGGGCGUGGCUUAACGGGGAGGUGGGCGUGGCCUAAGCGUGGCCGGCGGGAUUCCUUCGGCGGUGGGCGUGGCUUAAGGGAAGGGGGCGGGCCUAAGGGGCGGCAAAACGGUGUCCAAUGACGGUGGGCGUGGCUUAACGGGGGUGGGCGUGGCCUAAGGGCAGCGAAAAAAACGGUGUCCAAAGAAGUAGGCGUGGCUUAACGGGGGUGGUGGGCGUGGCCUAAGAGUGACGUGAGGAUGUCUUACGGGGGUGGGCGUGGCUUAACGGGGGUGGGCGUGGCCAAAACGUGACAUGAGCGUG
Molecule: long non-coding RNA, 2410 nt
Filed under: Numida meleagris (helmeted guineafowl)
Lineage: Eukaryota; Metazoa; Chordata; Aves; Galliformes; Numididae
Description: lncRNA (ENSNMEG00000004139.1)
Source: RNAcentral